AACGGUCUCAAAUUUAUACCAUUUUAGCAUGUUAAUGUUAUGAACACCUUUUAACAGAGUGCCCAAGGAUGUGCUCAUUAGCUCACCAAUGAACUUGAAAUCUGUUAAUUUGGUUGAACCAGGUGAACCACAAAAUUGAGACAAAUUGCUAUCAGCCGUUGGUUGAUUUUCCAUUCGAGGCCUUACUGACACGCUCGCAGAUUACGUUUAAAUUAAACAGAUUCGGAGUUUUUUUGAGAAUGGAGAAAUGCAUGAAUGAGAGCUUUGACGUGGAUGAGUGUUGCUCUGAGCUGCACCAAGGCAAAAUGGAUGAAUGCAUUGCCAAGAGUUCUCUAAACUCCUUACUCAAAGAGCUGUUAGAUGAAAAGAUUUCUACUCGGAG
Long non-coding RNA from Sinocyclocheilus rhinocerous, 382 nucleotides. RefSeq lists it as uncharacterized. The transcript is spliced from 4 exons. Lineage: Eukaryota; Metazoa; Chordata; Actinopteri; Cypriniformes; Cyprinidae. The record is from RefSeq and is a predicted model, not a curated record.